RNAcentral lists this long non-coding RNA (3836 nucleotides) under Sus scrofa (pig). Its description in RNAcentral is "lncRNA (ENSSSCG00035073976.1)". Lineage: Eukaryota; Metazoa; Chordata; Mammalia; Artiodactyla; Suidae. The record is from RNAcentral.
ACAAGGGAAGGCCUUUCGCACAGUCCCAAGGCCAGGAAGACGGAGGACGAGAACCCAGGAGCCCCCACGUCACCCCUGGGCUGUGCCCCUGCCCUCCAAGGCAUCAGUGACUUGAACAGCCUAGGUAGGGACAAGAAAGGACCUGCCCGUGUCACUCUGGAAGCCAGCCCACCGCAGGCCAGUUCUUACAGCCAGUCCAAGGUGCUUGGCAACGUGGACCUUCUCAAGAAGAAAUUCUGCUUGAAUGGACCAUCUCCAAGGUCCACCUGCAGCGGGGCGGGUCCCCGGGAACCAACAAGGAACAGGCUUGCUGUGGACCAGCACUGCUCGAUGGGUUCAAGGCGUCCUUGUCUGCUAAACAGGAAGGCAUGUGUGAUUCUGGCCUCCAGGUGGCUGAGUCCCAGCUAAGAGCCGAGGCAGCCCUGGGCUGUACAGAACCGACAGCAGGGGGUCCUCUGCUUCCUGAAAUGCACAUCUGCCCCAUAGCCAGCCUCCCGCCUUAGGAAAAGCAGCCGGGCUUGUCCCCCAAGCCCACGCAGGCUGUGUCUGUUACUUGCAUCUGGGAUGCCGUGGGGAGUGUGGUACCCAAAGGGUAAGGAGUGUCACCUCGCCUUGGCCAUGUGUGACUCUGGAACUUAAGGACUUCUGUGUCAGAAGAAAGGCACCCCUCUUUGGAACAUUUGCACCUGCAGAACCAGACCCGGGCCCCAGGAUCACGGAAUCCACCGGGGUCAGUAUGAAAUGACCACAGACCUUGCGACCACCAUGGGCCAGCUCCAAUAUGACAAGGCCAUCUGCUGAUGGGCCACAGGCGUUGCCUGCAGAAGGACGCCCAAGGCAACUUGGGUGGAGACAUGGCCAGCUGUGUGACAUUAUAGGGUUUCCAGACCUGGGACCAGGAAGCAGCCACAAGGCUUCCUUCCCUCCAACCAAAGUUCUCAGGGUGCAAAAGGCAGCCUCGCCAACCGGCCUGGCCAAUCCCAUGCUGAGCCCAGCCCUGUGCCUGAUCCGUCAUCAAGGGCAACCCAGCUGGUGUUUCAGGAAGAACCCAGCCUUCAAAGUUGACUUCAAAUUGCUAUGAAUCACCCUAUCUGAUGCAAAUGUGGGCUUGGGUAGACUCGGAGAUAGCUGAUUGCCUCAGAUUAAUCCACAGUUGCCUCGGCAGGUAAUUUACUUCUGGGAGUUUCAGGGACUAAGAAGAACAAGGCAUUUGCAUAAAUAGACUAAACUCAGAGUCCAGGCAGCCAGCCGGUUCUCUGACUGGCAGCUCCUGGUGACAGAGGACUCCCAUGAUUCUGGACCCCACCCACCUAUCCAUAUCCCAUACGUGAAAAGCAUCCUUGAAGUCCGGCCAUGGUCCCCAGCCACUGCCCCUGAUAAGUGGGUGCUCCACCGCAAUGCCCCUCAGCAGGUGGUCUGUCUCUCCACAUUUCCGUGACUUUUGCUGCAACCAAAUUCUUUCUUGCCCUGGGUAGCGAUCCACCAUCAUGGCUCCAGUCACCCUCCAGGUCAACUGGCUUUGUCCUGGGAUGUUCCUUCAUGCGUUUGAAGUGUUCCCUGGCUUCUCUGUGCAGACCAAAGCCCUGGACUUCCUAAUACAGCAGGGUUCUGGAACGCUCCACCAUCUGGUCAGCCUCCUCCAGGCUUCCUUUCCUUACAGCCUUCCUCUGAGAAUGUGGCAGCCAUACCAGGGGUGGGCUCACCAGUAUCACCUCCCUUGUUUCAGCCACUGUACUCCUAUUAAUAUGACCUGGCCUUUUGGACAGCUCAACCGCAUGGUGUCUCGUAAUAAGAUUUAGAGUUAACUAAACACGCCCUUUGUAAAAUGGGCACUGUUUGGCCUCCUUUCUCCCAGCUGGUAGCUGUUCUGUUGAGGUUUGGAGCUAAAUACUACACUUAGUAUUUAUUUCUGUGUGUGUGUGUGUGUGUGUGUGUGUGUGUGUAUUUGUAUUUUUACGCCCACACCCUUGGCAUAUGGAGGCUCCCAGGCUAGGGGCCGAGUCAGAGCUGUAGCUGCCAGCCUACACCACAGCUCACAGCAACGCCAGAUCCUUAACCCACUGAGCGAGGCCAGGGAGCGAACCCUCAACGUCAUGGUUCCUCGUCAGAUUCGUUUCCACUGCACCACAACGGGAACUCCCUAUUCCUGUUAUAUAUUGUCGUUUUAAUUUGACCUGUCCUUCCGUCCCUGUCACUCACAGUAAUUUUCUGCCAUUUGGAAACCUGUUACAAACGCCUUCGGUGGCUUGACCCAGGUUAUUAUUUAAAAAGCAUUUUCUGUUAUGGAUGCGGUUAAUCAUUACAGUCAGCAGCUUGCUUUUCUCUACCUUUUUUCAAAAGGCAAUAUGCUAAUGGCUUUGCUAAAAUAUCUUAAAAUGUUAGCGCCGGAAGAGAUGCUAAGGACAUGUGCUUCAAUUCCUUCAUUUGACGGAGGAGGGAACUGAGGCAGAGGGGUGCCAGGGACCAUGGAGACCUCCGAUCUGUGGCAGAGCCAGGCGCUGUGACUCAAAUAUUCCAACCCAGGUAUCCUUUGGAUAUUUGUGCAGAAAAACAAAAAAAAAAAAGAUGAUGGGCAUAUGGCACCAUGUCUACUGGAGGAUUCCAAGAGCAGACAACAGAAUCUUGGGGAGGAGGAGCUUGGUGGCUUAAAAGCCACAGCUGCCCAUCAGCUGAUGAAUAAACACCACGUGCUCUGGCCUUUUCGAGGCAGGUUAUCCAGCAGCCCCGGAAAGAAAUGAGGCAUUGGCUCACAGCAACAUGGGUGGCUCUUGACAAUAUUCUGGUGCGUGAAAGAAGCCAAUCACAAGUAUUGUGUGAUUCCUCUAAUGCAAAACAUCCACAAUAGCCAAACCCACAGAGAGAGAAAGCAGUGCGUGCGUGCCAGGGCCUGCAGAUGGAGGGGGAGACCAGAGUGGCAGCUGAUGAAUGGUACAGGGUUUUUUUUGGAGUUUGGGGGGUGGGUGGGGUCAUGAAACUGCUGUCACAAUUAGUGGUGAUGACUGCAGGACUUCGUGAUUAUACUCAAAACUACGGAAUUGUAUAUUUUCGAGUGGUUUCAAUGGUGAAUUUUAUGGCAUGGAGAUUAUAUCUGAAUUUUUGGAAAAGAAGCCCCAGGGGGCCUUUGCACUUGUGGCCCCUGAAGCAGAAAGGAGGUACACACAAUGAGGUACCACCUCACCCCGGCCAGAAGGGCCAUCAUCAAAAAGUCUACAAACAGUACGUGCUGGGUGUGAAGAAAAAGAAACCUCAUUACACCGUUGGUGGGACUAUAAACUGGUGCAACCACUGCAGAAAACAGUAUGGAGAUUCCUCAGGAAACUAAAAAUAGAAUUACCAUUUGAUCCAGCAGUCCCACUCCUGGGCAUCUAUCCAGAGAAAGCCAUGGCUUAAAUAGACACAUGUACUCCAGUGUUCAUUGCAGCACUGUAUACAACAGCCAAGAGAGGGAAAUAAUCUAAAUGCCCAUCGACAGAGGAGUGGAUCAAGAAGAAGUGGUACAUAUAUACACAAUGGAAUAUUACUCAGCCAUUAAAAGGAAAGAAAUAACGGCAUUUGCAGCAACAUGGAUGGACCCAGAAAUUAUCAUGCUAAAUGAAGUCAGACAGUGGGACACCAACAUCAAAUGCUAUGACUUACAUGUGUGAUCUAAAAAAAGGACACAAUGAGCUUCUCUGCAGAACAGAUACUGACUCACAGACUUUGAAGAACCUGUGGUUUCCUGAUGAGACAGGUUGGGGACUGGGGGGAUGCACUGAGGGUUUGGGAUGGAAAUGUGAUAAAAUUGGGUUGUGAUGAUCGUUGUACACCUAUAAAUGUAAUAAAAUUCAUUGAGUAAU